GACGAACGCUGGCGGCGUGCCUAAUACAUGCAAGUAGAACGCACAGUUUAUACCGUAGCUUGCUACACCAUAGACUGUGAGUUGCGAACGGGUGAGUAACGCGUAGGUAACCUGCCUGGUAGCGGGGGAUAACUAUUGGAAACGAUAGCUAAUACCGCAUAAUAUUGAUUAUUGCAUGAUAAUUAAUUGAAAGGUGCAAUUGCACCACAACAGGAGGGCCUUCCGUUGUAUUGCCUAGAAGGGGAGGUAACGGCUCCCCUAGGCGACGAUAAAUAACCGACCUGAGAGGGUGAUCGGCCACACUGGGACUGAGACACGGCCCAGACUCCUACGGGAGGCAGCAGUAGGGAAACUUCGGCAAUGGACGAAAGUCUGACCGAGCAACGCCGCGUGAGGGAAGAAGGGUUUCGGAUCGUAAAGCUCUGUUGUAAGAGAAGAACGGGUGUGAGAGUGGAAAGUUCACACUGUGACGGUAUCUUACCAGAAAGGGACGGCUAACUACGUG
This 505-nucleotide ribosomal RNA is filed under the name uncultured bacterium. RNAcentral describes it as "partial 16S ribosomal RNA". It matches the Rfam family "Bacterial small subunit ribosomal RNA", at positions 28 to 507 of the family's 1533-position model. The record is from RNAcentral.